UGGGCAUUCAGUUAGUUUUACUCUAAUUACCUGAGCUAGAGUCUCUUGUAUGGCUAGAAUGUGCUAGCAACUCCACUGUCUUGAGGUGUCUGCUUUAGCAGCUGGCUGCGUAUAUAUUUGUGGUGGAGAAUCUGAAAUUAAUCCCUACCAUUUUUUGUCUGCAGGUUAAAGUAUAGUUGAGCAAGCUGAUUUAGAAAGCACUGCAUCUUGAAAAAGCCUGUUAAAGGUGAUUUGAAAGUACUUUUUAAUUCUCUUUAAAAGCACAAGCCAUUAACAGAUUACAUGUGAACUUGAAACAUUCUCAACCCACCCACCCUACCCCGCCACUCAAAAAAAAAAAAAAAAGCAUCCUAGAAAAACUAAGAUUUCUUCUGUUUAAGUCUUGUAGAAGGUUACAUUUUUUCUCUGGAGGUUAGUACAGAAGGGGAGCAGAGCUGCAGUUCUUCCCUGCUUCAGAGUGUAAAUGGCCUUAAAAUGCAAAAAACUAAAUAUUUAUUUUGGCAGGUAGGUAAUACAGACAAGACUUUAAUUUGGUGCUACACCAUAUGUGGAUGACAAGGUAUCUUAAGCAGUGUUUAGAAAUCAUCUUUUUAUUCUGUUUUGGUAAGUCUGAUGCAGAUAGUAGUAAAAGAUUUGCUUGACCCCCGUUGCUGAUGCAGUUACUGGCCUUUGUACAUGCAACUUCUGUUUUUUGAGAAUACUAUAUUACUGUUUGAAGCACAGAAAACACAGGUUUACCAAGAAACACCUACACUGUUUCAGCUUACUCAUCUGUGAAUGCUCAGAACUCUUGUGCAAGUGAUGAGUCUUUACUGCUAUUCUUUGAGGUGAUUGGUUUUCUAUUUCCUUUGAACUGAAGUUGCCACAUUCUUUUCUUUGAAGAAGCUGUGGACCGAUUAAUUUGUCUGAUAGCAGAGCUUACUGUACUCUUCAGAGCUACACAGAAAUCAAGAUAUUUUUUUUUUCAGUUAAUGCCAACCAGAUGGCACUAAAGCUGUGACGUCAUGUUAGGAUUAAAUUGGAGAAAAAACAAAAGCUUGAAAUUGUUUCCACAAUAAUUAAAUUUUUGUGGUUUCGUAUUGCCUGAUACAGUUUUAAACCAUUAACUUCUACUUUCUGAAAGAAAAUUCACCACUUUUCUAUGGAAAAUAUUUCAGUGGAUUAACAUUACACUAUUGUAUGGAGUAUCACUUGCAGUCCACAGUCAAGAUUUUGCGCUCCAUUGAACCUACGUGCUACAUAAUUGUGGAACAAGAUCUUUCUUCUGCCUUAAGAAGAGGCAUCAAAACUAAAUGGUCUUUUUAUAUGCUGCUAGAAAUCUUGACAACUACUGACAUGUAAUGGAAAAUGGGAUUUAACUUGCUUUUGGAUUGCAGAGUCUUUAAAUAUAUUGGAGCAAGAAAUAAUUCUUCUGAAGCCUUCCAAGGUUUCUUAUUGAAUCUUUUGCUUUCUUCUUGGAAUGAAGAAAAAGAGGGAUAAAUAUCCAAACCAAAGCACUAAAGAUACUUCUGACAGAAGAACCUGCUAACUUCACUCUGACUGAGAAAUCUCAGAACUUCAGCUUGAUUUGGAGAUGCUACCGAGAUCUCUCACACAGAAACAUGCUUGAAGCUCUAACGUGAACAGUCCAAACAGGGAUCCCGUCCUGCGCCUGGGAUGCGUCUGAGCCAAGCUCUGAACAGUUAAUGUGGAGCAGAUAAGUCCUAUUACCAGAGAGGGAAUGGCACAAAGAUGCAUGUCUUCAGUGAUGCUUCCCAGAAAUCACCUUAUAACUUCUCAUAGACUAAUUACCGUGAUUUUUAUCUAGGGGUUUACCCUCAUGAGUCAGACCUCUUCCAUUUUGCAGAUGGGCUGGGGGGAUGCUACAUCUUAUUGUGGGAUGGCGGAUGGAUCACGUGGUAUUUUGAACUGUCUAUGGUGUGGAUUCAUGUGCUGGGGCACGCUGACUGUCCAAAGCUCCGCUACAGUUGUAUGUAUUGAUAACAUACCUGUGUGCUAAAUCUUAACAGUGCAGAACUGAGUUGUCAUGGCAGGGGAUUUUCCCAGUGCUACGGUUCUGUUUAAAGGUCUUAUGGGGAAAACAGACAUUGGAGAGGUGUCUACAUAAAACCUUCCUCCCUAUUAAUCUCAGUGCUCCUUUAUUUGUACCAGGAUUUAGGGCUGUUGUAUGUAGAUCUUUCACAUGUAGGGCCUGACUUUUUUUUGGUACCACCUCAUUUGCCUUGUCAUUACUCCAUUACUUAUGGAUUUCUGUUUUAUACCUGCAUGGUAUCUGUUACAUCUAUACUACUUGCAUUUACCUAUCUUCCCUGCCUUCUUCUUCCCCAGCUCUCUUAACUGGCAUUUUGUAUGUCUGAGAAUCCUUUCUCAGCUUUUAUCUUCCAGCAUGCAAUGUGUUUCGGUCAUGGGGCUGUUAACUGUAAGGUUUAUUUCCACUGGAAAAAGCCACUGAAGGCUUCCAAACACAUGACCGUUCAAUAAUAUACUGAAUAAAGACAAUUGAACUGGCACCAGAAGGCUUAUAGGAGAAGCUUUGUGAGAUGGUGAACUGAGUUUUGCAAACUGCUCAACUAGCAAGAUCCUUGGAUCACUGGAGCAUGUUGUGGGAACAGUGUAAGGGCCAGUAAAUUUUUCUGAAAAGGCUUUUGGGACAUGACACACUGCUUUCAGGUGACGUCAGUGCCAUGCUCCUGAGGAACACCUUCCACACUGGUUCUAGCAUCUUUUGCAAAGAGGGGAGCUGCUCUGGAAAAAAUUGCUACUGCCACUAGUUGCUGGAGAACAACUUCUGCAGAAAGAACAGCUGGGUGGCUCCAAGGCUGAUGGUGGGCUGUGGUUGACAUAAGAGGCCAUACAGUAGUGUUAAAAGAGGUGAGAUCUGCUGCUGGUAACUGCCAGUCUACUGACUGACAGAGGUCUUCAUACUCACUGUUAAGAAACAUCUUAAGAAUUGUAGUAGGGCUAUUCCCUACUAUUUAGGCUAUUGGCCUAAAUUGAUGACACAGUCAAAAGCUAAACUUGGUUUUCCUUAACCAGUAAAUUUGGGGACAAAUGGUCAUAGGCGGGGUGUGGUGAUCUGAGUAAAGCUGCACUGUCGGGAGAUGGUGGGCUUUAGUAUGAGAGUAUUGAUGCAGACAGAUGCAGAGUGUAUUGAUAGGCUGUUAGCAGGGAAUAAGUUGGCCACUGAGUAUGUAAAGGAAAGAAACUGCCAUAUUUUUGUUUGAAUUGCACCACACAGUUAUAUGGAAACAAGCUUAAAACAACUCGGGAGAAAGAGGAUUCUGCAGUUUUGUCUCAGUUAUUGGAGAGUUCACACAGCAAUAAUGUCUUUGGCACUGAACAGAUGCUCUGUGCCAUUGUAGUCUUCCCCACAGUAGCUGCUCAAGAAACACUGGUCCAAAGAUAAUUCCUUCCAGUGUGAGGUGGCCCCUUCUAAAGAAUGAAAUACAAACAUCUUUAUGAGUAAACUGGGAUCUGCAAGGAUUUUGUGUUCCAAUUGGUGUGACUGUUCCAAUGCAGAAAGCAUUGCCACCAGUAUCCUGAUGACAGUGCAGGUACCAAAGAUGCUUGCACAAGGAAAUUGUAUAGUGUUAAUGGACACAUCUCCAGUUAAGUGCUAGCAUAUGGGUGAGUAUAGUAUUGUCACUCCUUUACAUUUCAAUGCAUAAUCAAAGCUCCACAAAGUUCCUGAAACAGAACGUUUGUCACCAGAUCAAACACGCUUGGCUUCUUACCACCUUGGGAAGCCAAGAUCCCGUGUCGUGAAUACAGAGACCUUCACUGACGACUGUUACUGAGAUGGUGUUUCCAAUUUCCAGAUGCUGCCAGUUCCUGCAAAGAAAUUGCUCUGGUCUUUUAGAUAACAUUGCUCAUUAAAAGUUUAGUCACAAAUGGAGGUGAGAUUCCUUUCAAGCUCAGGACUUAGAAAUAGCUGCAGAAUAAAUGGUCUGAAGUUGCGGUGUGAUGAAGAAAAACACAGUGAAGGGCUCUACCUGAGCUCUGACAGCAGUGUUGAUGGACUUGUGCUCUACCCAGAGGGUAUCUGAAGAGUCUGCUCCUGAGUAAAAAGCCUCUGUUGUUCUGCCCUUUCUUGGAGACACCAUGCUAUGGGCAUGGCCUUCCGCAAAAGAAGCAACAAACUGAAAAACCUCUGAGCCAGCAGCAGUCAGAGCUGAGACGAUAGGGCUUUGCUGCCACUUGGCAUAAUGCUCACAGCUGCAGCCCGGGAGGUUUCUGAACAUGAAUAGAUGAUAUUCUGCUUUAUAACGAUUGCUCAAGAUUAGAGCGCACUGUGGCUUCUAAAAAUGCCGUUUCUACAGCAUUUUGUACAGCAUUUUGUAACUGUGAUACUAUUCUUAAGGCAUUAUAUUUAGAAACAGCCUUUGUAAUUGUUUUUAUUUGAACACAGGUUGCACUGCCAGUCAUGGGGACUCAGUAGACACAGGUGUGUAGGGCUGGCCUCACUUUUCCCUUGAGCAUGAAUCCAUGGUGUUUUCAAAAGUUGUCCUUAAUUCUACUGUUUCUUACUCACAGACCUGGAACUUAGAAACAAAAAACAAUUAUUUAAGCUGUUGAAUAUUCUGUGCUUAUUCUGAGAACCAGAUACGGACAGGUUUUAUAUAGAGAUUUAUAGAUAUGUGUAUACACAUAUAUGUUGUCAGGUGUUUCGCUUAGUUUUUUAAAGUAAUACAAAGUAUUUUUCUAUAACUUCUGUUCUUGUGUAAAGCUAUGGAUGACACGUAUGUGCUUUGGGAAAUUCAGUAAAAUAUUUUCCUUGAAGUUUCA
Molecule: non-coding RNA, 4785 nt
Organism: Phalacrocorax carbo (great cormorant)
Lineage: Eukaryota; Metazoa; Chordata; Aves; Suliformes; Phalacrocoracidae
Source: RefSeq, a predicted model, not a curated record